AUUGAACGCUGGCGGCAGGCUUAACACAUGCAAGUCGAGCGGAGAUGAGGUGCUUGCACCUUAUCUUAGCGGCGGACGGGUGAGUAAUGCUUAGGAAUCUGCCUAUUAGUGGGGGACAACAUUCCGAAAGGAAUGCUAAUACCGCAUACGUCCUACGGGAGAAAGCAGGGGAUCUUCGGACCUUGCGCUAAUAGAUGAGCCUAAGUCGGAUUAGCUAGUUGGUUGGGUAAAGGCCUACCAAGGCGACUAUCUGUAGCGGGUCUGAAAGGAUGAUCCGCCACACUGGGACUGAGACACGGCCCACACUCCUACGGGAGGCAGCAGUGGGGAAUAUUGGACGAUGGGGGGAACCCUGAUCCAGCCAUGCCGCGUGUGUGAAGAAGGCCUUAUGGUUGUAAAGCACUUUAAGCGAGGAGGAGGCUACUGAGACUAAUACUCUUGGAUAGUGGACGUUACUCGCAGAAUAAGCACCGGCUAACUCUGUGCCAGCAGCCGCGGUAAUACAGAGGGUGCGAGCGUUAAUCGGAUUUACUGGGCGUAAAGCGUGCGUAGGCGGCUUUUUAAGUCGGAUGUGAAAUCCCCGAGCUUAACUUGGGAAUUGCAUUCGAUACUGGGAA
This 617-nucleotide ribosomal RNA is filed under the name uncultured bacterium. RNAcentral describes it as "bacterial SSU rRNA". It matches the Rfam family "Bacterial small subunit ribosomal RNA", at positions 28 to 639 of the family's 1533-position model. The record is from RNAcentral.